GAUUAAUUCUCCUUUAGAGAUUGAUUGGAACUCGUUGGGUUUUCUAUUUGAUUUAUAUGAUUUCUAUUCGGACCAUGAUUUGUGUUAUUGCUUUCAUGUAUAAGUAAUCAUCAUGUUAGAUUUAGGGAUUUCAUGAGCUUAAUGUCAAACUGAUAUUCAAUUAGGAUUGGUAGGAUUGUUUAUAGAUUUCUACACCAGGGUGGCUUGUAAUACAAGGAUCUAGAGUAGUUAGAAUAACAUGAGAGUGUGACUAAUUGCUUUAAGCUAGAACCAAAGGACAAUUGAGAGGCACGAGAGUGCAAUCAAUUAACGGAACCUGAGCUCUGCUGUAUUAGAUACCUAGGCGCAUACGAGAGCUUGUCUGAGAAUUUAGUUGAACGUUAUCGGUAGCGAUAGACAUCCUAUAGGUGUAUCGAUCUAUUCGCGUUUGGUAUAGCGUACGAGAGUAUGAAUAAAGAUUUAAACAUGUAGACUCACAGCGAGAGGUGGAGAUCUUAUAAUUGUAUUCAAAUUCUAGAAUUAAAUAUAUAAAAUCAUUAGCAUCCUUGAUUUGUGUUUUGAAUCCCUUGAAUAAUAAAUCCCUAGGUCUAGUGCUGUCUCCUUAUCACUUACAAC
RNAcentral lists this long non-coding RNA (615 nucleotides) under Brassica napus (rape). Its description in RNAcentral is "long non-coding RNA (BNAP_LNC011578)". Lineage: Eukaryota; Viridiplantae; Streptophyta; Magnoliopsida; Brassicales; Brassicaceae. The record is from RNAcentral.